ACUAACUAGGAUUCCCCCAGUAGCGGCGAGCGAACAGGGAAGAGCCCAGCACCGAAUCCCGCGGCCGACUCCGGACGCCGGGAAAUGUGGUGUUAGGGAGGGUCCGCUAUCCCGAGGUCGCGCGGCGCGUCCAAGUCCUUCUUGAACGGGGCCACUUACCCAUAGAGGGUGCCAGGCCCGUAGCGGCCGCCGCCGGCAGCGGGAGGAUCUCUCCUCAGAGUCGGGUUGCUUGAGAGUGCAGUCCUAAGUGGGUGGUAAACUCCAUCUAAGGCUAAAUAUAACCACGAGACCGAUAGCGAACAAGUACCGUGAGGGAAAGUUGAAAAGAACUUUGAAGAGAGAGUUCAAUAGUACGUGAAACCGUUCAGGGGUAAACCUGAGAAAUCCGAAAGAUCGAAUGGGGACAUUCAGCGCGUUUCGCCUGGCGGCGAGCACAGGUCGCGAGACGGUCGGGCGUUCGCGUUCGACCGCUCCUGCCGAAGCCGCGACCGCUGGCGAACGCGUGCACUUCUCCCCUAGUAGGACGUCGCGACCCGUUGGGUGCCGGUCUAAGGCCCGCGGUGGAGCCCGUCGGGGUACGGUUCAUCCCGUAUCCUUGCGGACCCGCGGUGUUCCGACCGGCUCGCUCGACGGUAGAACGGUGGCGAGGGGUCGCGAAAGUUCGCGCCCGGCCCGUUGCAAGCGCGCCCGUUAGCCCGGCUGUCGGACCUGCGUGCCGACUCCGGGCACGGGCGGCUGCUGGCGACGGUGUCCUCGGGCGGGCCCCGAUACACGCCCGUCGGCGACGCUUUAGCUUUGGAUACUUUCAGGACCCGUCUUGAAACACGGACCAAGGAGUCUAGCAUGUGCGCGAGUCAUUGGGACUCUACUAAACCUAAAGGCGCAAUGAAAGUGAAGGCCGCCUUGCGCGUGCCUAGGGAGGACCGGUCGGACCAACAAGUCCGUGCCGUGCACUCCCGGGGCGUCUCGUUCUCAUCGCGAGUUGAGGCGCACCCAGAGCGUACACGCUGGGACCCGAAAGAUGGUGAACUAUGCCUGGUCAGGACGAAGUCAGGGGAAACCCUGAUGGAGGUCCGUAGCGAUUCUGACGUGCAAAUCGAUCGUCGGAACUGGGUAUAGCGGCGAAAGACUAAUCGAACCAUCUAGUAGCUGGUUCCCUCCGAAGUUUCCCUCAGGAUAGCUGGCGCUCGCUGUUGCGAGUCUCAUCCGGUAAAGCGAAUGAUUAGAGGCAUUGGGGUCGAAACGGCCUCAACCUAUUCUCAAACUUUAAAUGGGUUAGAACUCCGGCUUGCUUGAACGUGAAGCCGCGAGAUAACGUCGGUCGCGCCCGCUUGCCGGGCCGACGGCGGAACGGAUCAGAG
This 1361-nucleotide ribosomal RNA is filed under the name Homaeotarsus cinctus. RNAcentral's name for it is "eukaryotic LSU rRNA". It matches the Rfam family "Eukaryotic large subunit ribosomal RNA", at positions 64 to 1121 of the family's 3401-position model. The record is from RNAcentral. Lineage: Eukaryota; Metazoa; Arthropoda; Insecta; Coleoptera; Staphylinidae.